GAUGAACGCUGGCGGCGUGCCUAACACAUGCAAGUCGAGCGGAAAGACCCUGCUUUUGCGGGGUGCUCGAGUGGCGAACGGGUGUGAAACACGUGAGUAUCCCGCCCUUGACUUUGGGAUAACUUCAGGAAACUGGGGCUAAUACAGGAUAGGAGAUCCUGAAGCAUGGGGGUGGUUGGAAAGUUUCGGCUGUUGGGGAUGGACUCGCGGCUUACCAGCUUGUUGGUGGAGUAGUUGCUUACCAAGGGUUCGACGGAUAGCCGGCCUGGGAGCGGGACCGGCCACAUUGGGACUAAGGGACGGAGCAGACGCGAACGUGAGGCAGCAGGGGGGAAUAUUGCACAGUGGGGGGGAGCGUGAUGCGGCGGCGCCGCGAGCGUGAAGCCGGCUUACUUGGGGUGAACCGCUGUCGCCUGUGACGUAGCGGGAUUGACGGUAAUGGGUAAAGAAGCACCGGCUAACUACGUG
RNAcentral lists this ribosomal RNA (468 nucleotides) under uncultured bacterium. Its description in RNAcentral is "partial 16S ribosomal RNA". It matches the Rfam family "Bacterial small subunit ribosomal RNA", at positions 28 to 507 of the family's 1533-position model. The record is from RNAcentral.